Molecule: ribosomal RNA, 492 nt
Filed under: uncultured bacterium
Lineage: Bacteria
Description: partial 16S ribosomal RNA
Rfam family: Bacterial small subunit ribosomal RNA
Source: RNAcentral
AGUGAACGCUGGCGGUAGGCCUAACACAUGCAAGUCGAACGGCAGCACAGUAAGAGCUUGCUCUUACGGGUGGUGAGUGGCGGACGGGUGAGGAAUACAUCGGAAUCUACUUUUUCGUGGGGGAUAACGUAGGGAAACUUACGCUAAUACCGCAUACGACCUACGGGUGAAAGCAGGGGAUCUUCGGACCUUGCGCGAUUGAAUGAGCCGAUGUCGGAUUAGCUAGUUGGCGGGGUAAAGGCCCACCAAGGCGACGAUCCGUAGCUGGUCUGAGAGGAUGAUCAGCCACACUGGAACUGAGACACGGUCCAGACUCCUACGGGAGGCAGCAGUGGGGAAUAUUGGACAAUGGGCGCAAGCCUGAUCCAGCCAUACCGCGCGGGUGAAGAAGGCCUUCGGGUUGUAAAGCCCUUUUGUUGGGAAAGAAAAGCAGCAGGUUAAUACCCCGCUGUUCUGACGGUACCCAAAGAAUAAGCACCGGCUAACUUCGUG